Globicephala melas (long-finned pilot whale) is the source of this 6381-nucleotide long non-coding RNA. RefSeq lists it as uncharacterized. Lineage: Eukaryota; Metazoa; Chordata; Mammalia; Artiodactyla; Delphinidae. The record is from RefSeq and is a predicted model, not a curated record.
AAGGCCUCGGCUUCACCCGCUCCUCCGCCGCCCGACCGCCGCAGGCACCCAAUGGGCUCUAGUGCCUACCCGCCCUCCAAUCAGGGCUCUGGUUGGUGAGAACCUGAUCCUGACGCCACUUUGGCGGGAGAAACAAGCGUGUCUGAAGGAGCAGGCGGGGGCGCUUGCCCCGCCGUAACAUUCAUUAUGACUCUUUCUAUAGAAGCUAGAUUGUGUCAUAUUUUAGCAACCCCAGCCCUCAAGGUCUCAAAACUUAUGAUCUAAUUUCUAUGAAUUAACGAAUAAGAGUUUACCCUUAGAGCGACAAACUACAGAAUUGUAUCCCAAAGAUAAAAUAUUAGAAACUAUUAUAAAUUCUAGCAGUCCUGGCUGGACCACUUCUAACUGUAUUACAAAGUAGAUGAGUUUGUCUUCUUACCUCUUUUCACUUGCACAUUCAGUGACUGGCUUAUUAGGAAUGUCUGAUUAAGAGAUGAGCUUAUUUAAGAGCAACUAGUGCUGGAGAUCUUUUAAAAUAGGCAUAUUUUUGCUGGAAGGCUUAUGAACCAACUCUUCAAGAACUUUUUAAAAUUUUUUUAUCCUAGAAAGGGCUUCCUAAGCAAGGAACCCAGCUUCAGAAACUCAUUCUCAGGCCCACAAAGCCAGGUCUAGAUGUUACAGCCUCCUCCCGUCCCAGAUACUUUUACUGUUAUUGCUUCAGUUCAGUCAAAUAAGAACAGCAUUUUAGUUGCAUCUCAUCUAAGAGCAGUUUUCUCCCAGCAAGCACUGCUGAUGAAUUUAGUGACGAAGGCCUGCAAAAGUUAGUAAAACUGGCUUGAGCAGAUAAAUCAGAUGAAAACUUUCACGGGUCUGUUUCCCUAAUUUCAAUUAUACUUUCCAGUUAAUUUCAAGUAAUACUCAGCAAAGACUUUUACUUUGUUAGUUAAAAUUUUUUGACUGGACUUUUAAAAAGCUGAAUAAACAAAAAUUAUUCAAAGGUUAAAAAUUUAUUACACAUAGGCAUGUUGCUUUUUAUCAAAGAAAUUUAUUCGCAUGUAAAUAAACACGUUUUUGUAAUGUUUGGGGGGAAAAAAAUCCCACAGAUUUUUAUCUACUUUCAAAAAAAUGAAAAACCCCCAAGUAUUUACAGAACGGCCAUAUGCACAGAAAAUCAAAUUUGAAAAGAUUUUAGAAAAGACCCUCCCCAUCUGCUCCUGAUGUACAUUUUUGAAACAAAAUUUAAAGCUCAGCUUUUGCAACUGAGCAUGUUUCCCAACCUAGCUUCUGAUAUGUUAAGUACUUCCUACCCCUCAAAAAACUAACUCAAGGGUAGAAAUCAGGGGGGAGGGAGAUUGGGGGGGAAAAAAAAGGUAAAAGAAGAUGAGAUUGCUUAGGGAUUGUGAAUAAUGAGUUUCCUAUACUGGAAUCUGCUUUAAGUGACUCAGCUGGAUACUAUGACUCACUGGCUCCCUGGAAGGUUUCUUUUGAGAAUUCAUAAUAGUGCUGCCCUAAAUUUUCAAACCUAGGCCUUAAGGAAAAUCCUUCCAAGAGCCACCAACCUCAAGCCUAGUUUUGGCAAUUAUAUCCUGCUUCAUUCCCACCGCCUCCCCCCCCAAUACUUGUUUUAAAAGAAAUUGAUUUUUGAACCUGGAAUCUUCAUGUACAUCAGAGCAGGUUUUGACCAAGAACCCCUAACAUGAAGCCAAAAGACAGAAGAGGAAUCAGGUCAAACUAAGAAUACAUAAAGACUCCAGCAGCAGAAGAUAGGUAGAAGUUGACUUCAUGUCCUUGCCGUCUUUUGAAACAGGAGAAUGAGUACACCUAGACAGGAGGGAGGUGUCCCAGGCUUGGUUUAUUCUGCCUCUUCUCCUCCACCCUGUGGAGAAAUGCAGUGCUCCCUGGUUCUCAGGCAGGGUGAAGCAGUUUAGCCCCGGCUCCCUGUUAAGCAAGUUCAGAUGCUGGGUCAGUGUGUGGGGUGUGCCCAUCGACAAGUCAGGGGCUUAUCCUUCAUCCAGAUCCUAACUCGGGAUUCUUUGAUCUGGGAUGAAGACAGAAAGAGAGAAAAAGCUUCCCAGUUUACUCAUUUUGGUAUUUGUUGGCUCUGCUUGGGGGAGCUGAGCCCCUGAUACUAUGCAGUACAUUCCCCAUAAGAUUUUCCCCACCCAGACCAACUUAAAAACCAUUUUUUUUUUCCUGCAGAAACCAAUGGGAUAGGAUUCAAAACUAGGUGAGAAAUCCAACCUGGUUGUGUGUCUGAGAGGCUGCUACUGUAUCAGCAUCACAAGAUAAAGCACUCUGGUAUCACCUUGCCCAUGUCCUCCUUAGUGUCACCCAAGACAUUUGACUCUGAUACGGUAACCGAUAACUUUUCUUGCUCCACUUUGCAAUGUUUCGUUUCCUACUUCUUAUUACCUUGGGACACAAAAGUGGCAGAGUUGUUGUGAGCUGAUGACCAGAAAAGGGAGAACACUAAAGGAAAUCAGAGACAGUCAGGAAAGAAAGCCAAAGCUGAUUUUCCAACUCUAUGCUAACUCCAACCUGCAGAAAGGGAUGAAUAUAGAAAUCUUCAAUAUCUGAUGAAGUCACUCCAUUUAUCUCACACACAUACAUCACACACACACACACACACACACACAAACGAAUCACCUGGCUUUUUUUUUUUUUUUUUAAUCCAGAAGAGUUGUGCUGGGGAUCAUGCCCCGUCCUGCUGACACAGAACCUGAAUGGAAUCAUCAGGAAUGGCACAGUGCAGGUGUCAAAAUCAAAAGGUCGGAUGCCAUCAUCUGAGCUGGGACUGUUCUGAUAAGACUUCUCUGCUAUGGAGGAGCCUGACUCACUCUCACUGUCCAGAUUCUGGGGGGUAUAUGCUGGUGACUUACUAUGACUGGGAGAGCCACGCUCAUGCUUUGGAGUGGAACCACUGAUGAGUGGAGAGCCAUAGUUUUUGGAGGAGGCCAUCUGAGGCCUCAGCCCUUCUCCACUACUUUCCCCAGGUUUCUGCAAAGUCACUUUGGCUUUAAUGCUGGGGGAUCCCCCAUCAUGCUUGCUGAUGAUAAUUUUUGCCACACCCGUGCUCCCCACAUUUUUUGACUCUGAGGUCUUCUUAGUUGAAUCCACCGAGCCCCCCAAGGUGGAAACCUUUGAUUUGUCUUUAUCACUUUUCUCACGCUUGCCCUGGAACUCUCCUCCUGACAUGUUAUGUUUGGAGGACACAGGAUGGCUAGAAGAAUUUGUGCUCACCCCCACCUGGCCGUCCAUUGGGUCUUCACCCCCAGGGCCACUGGUGACAACCCCAUGCUUCAGUUUAUCUAUGACAGCUGUUAAGGACGGCUUCUUAUUUCUGCUGGGAGAUUUCCCUUUGGAACUCCCAUGCUGGUUCUGAGAGGAUGACAUGGAAGAGCCACUUGAGGAAAAGGAAGAGGAAGAUGCUGUACAAGAGUUAGAUGAUGGGGGAGUUUUCUGAGACAAUGAGCCUGAAGAUCCUAACCCUGAAGAUGACUUCAUGCCAGUGCUUGAACUAGUUCCAGACAUGUGAGAACCACCAGAACCUGAACUGAUAGGAGACUUGGCUUUAGAGGAUGGGGGAGUCCCAGGAACAGGCUUCAUUGGAGAGGCAAGCUUAUCAGAGCCUCCAGGUGGCCUUGAAUGGGAAGGGGAUAUGUUUGGUUUACUCAAAGAAGGAUUCAUAAGUGAUGAUGGCUUCCCUUGAGGUUUCAUCUUGGUGCUGCUGGAGCCACUGCUCAGUCCAUGCUUGGUAACAGGAGAGGAGCCAGGCUUCCCCCCAGACUGGGAUGAAUUUUUGGACUGGCUAGAUCCCGAAGACCCCUGGCUAGAAUAUAUACUGCUACUUAACUUGGAACUUGAUGAACCUUCUGAUUUACUGCUUUUCAUCUUGCCUGAGUUGGAAGCAGAAGACGAGGAAGAAUGGCUAUGGUGGCUUUUACUUCCUGAGGAAGACACAGAACCACUGCUGGUAUACUGACUGUGAGAGGAGGGCUUGCCCACCAUCACGGUUCCCUUAGGAAUCUGAAUAGUGAUUUUGGGAAUGGGUGGUGUGGCAACACCUGGGGGAGUCUGAGAUCUUCCUGAACUGCCUGGAGAUUUGGAUCCACCUGUACUAGUAGGUGGGGUGAAAGGUCGGUUAGAACAACUGUGAGAUGGAGACUUCCCCUCAGUGUCUGCCUUCUUCCGUUUUGGAGGCUUAUCUUUGCUUUUGCCAUCAUUAGAAGGGGUUCGACUGCGCUUCCCUGGUUUGCUGUCUAAUCCUGGCCCUGAUAGACUACUGUUACUGGUGCCAUUGCCUUCCUUUACUCUCUUUUGAGUCUUUUCUUUCCCUAAGUCCCCAGUGGUCAAUAAAGGACUCUGGCUACCACUGUGAUGCUCCAUAAGAUCUGUAGGACCCAAAGCCUUACCAGCCACUGCUAUUAUACUGAAAUCAACUGUGUCAGCUUGGCUAUUGCCUUUAAACUUAGUCUCCCCAUUAUCACCUCCAAGCAUUGGCACCCCCAAAGUAUUUAGUGCCUGAGAUGUAAAUCCUUUGAAAUCAUCAUUAUCUCCACUUUGGCUGCUUUCAUCAAAAUAUUCUUCUCCAAAACCACUUUGGCUCUGGCUGUUCAACAAAUCAGGAUUGAAAUCUACUCCAUCAGGAAAAAAAUGAUUGGUAGGAGAGUCACUACUGGGGCUUCCAGCAGCAUCUGCAAUAAGGUCAGCUGGAUCAGUGUAUGGAUUUUCAUUAUUAUUGGCUUGAAAGACAUCAGGGUCAAAGAGGGCACUCUGAGAAUGCCCAGAGCUUGAAGAAUCUCGAACAGGGGUGCCAAUGGGUGGACAAUCGUCACUAGUGCUGGGAAGCUUAGAAGCUUCUUCUGCAAUGUCUGAAAGGAUAUCAGUUACAUCCGGGCCAAUGCUGUCUGAACUGGAUAGUCGGACCAUCCUUUGAAUACUGGAUUGGGGAUGAGGUACUGGUUGUGGGUAAGUUGUUGGGGGAGUGCUACACUGGCUUGGAGCUGGAGUGAUGUGUGGCGUAUCCAGCGUGUCAGCUGUCAUGUUGACAUCAAAGAUAGGGUUCUGUGAGUCAACAUCCAUUGAAAAUAGCUCCCUCUGAAAGUCAUCUUCAGUCUGGUGCUUGGGUUUGUCAGGUGGUAAUCUUGAUGACUUCUUCUUCUUUGCCUUGUUGCUUCCCGAGCACAUUUCCAUCCGGGGUGAGCCGGAAGAGGAGUUCUGCCUUUCUAAAGGGCUGCUUCCAUAAAGGGUUGAGAAAUCCUGGGCAGGAUUAUCUUUAAGAAGGUUCAUGAGCAUCGGGUGGUUCUUGGUGUUGCCGGCCAUCGAAGAGACAGGUGGCGGCGUGUGAUGAGGAGGGGUCGGACUCGAGCCAAUGGUAGACCCCCCGUUCCCUGUGAUUUGCAACAAACUGGUAAGAAUUGGGUUCUGAGAUACCUUGCUGAAGUCCUCCCCAUGGCCCACCGACUCAUGCCGAUCUUUGAUGCUCAUGCUCAUAUUAAACAAGGUGGUAAUGGGACCCCCCGGAAAGGUGUUGGUUGGUGUAGUGGUACCACUCAUUGGGUUGUUGCCUGUGGUCAUGCCAUACCCUGGGCUGCUAGCCGGGGGCAGGUUCUUUUUCACCAUGUCUUCAACUGUCUCUGCAAUGAGGGACAGUGCUGGAGUGUCGGCCUGAAUGGUUUCAGCUUUCCUCCGAAUAGCCCUCAUCGUCACAGGGAUGGACAUACAUCUGUAAAAUAAGAUGGAAAAAACAAAGUUAAUAUUGUACUAGCUGCUAAUGAAACCAAUUUUUUAUUUGGGAAAACAGGCUUUUAAUUUUGCCUGAGACUUACAUAUGCCAAAAGGUUUACAAUAAGCAGCUUUCAGGCAAGGCAAAUAACCCGCAAGGCAGGAGCAGUUCUAUGAAAUGCCAGAGCUUUGGGUAAACUCAUUCUAAAAGAAUCUGGGGGCUUCCCUGGUGGUGCAGUGGUUAAGAAUCCACCUGCCAAUGCAGGGGACACGGGUUCAAGCCCUGGUCCGGGAAGAUCCCACAUGUCGCAGAGCAACUAAGCCCGUGUGCCACAACUACCGAGCCUGUGCUCUGGAGCCCAUGUGCCGCAACUACUGAAGCCCGUGCGCCUAGAGCCCAUGCUCCGCAACAGGAGAAGCCACCGCAAUGAGAAGCCCACGCACCGCAACGAAGAGUGGCCCCCGCUCACUGCAACUAGAGAGAGUCCGCGUGCAGUGACAAAGACCCAACGCAGCCAAAAAAAAAUUAAAAAUAAAAAGAAUCUGGAUGGAAUUCCCUGGUGGUCCAGUGGUUAGGACUCCAUGCUUCCACUGCAGGGGGCACGGAUUCAAUCCCUAGUUGGGGAACUGAGAUCCCGCAAGCCUCACAGCACAGCCCCCCAAAAAAAAAAAAAACAA